This 464-nucleotide ribosomal RNA is filed under the name uncultured Klebsiella sp. Its description in RNAcentral is "bacterial SSU rRNA". It matches the Rfam family "Bacterial small subunit ribosomal RNA", at positions 338 to 795 of the family's 1533-position model. Lineage: Bacteria; Pseudomonadati; Pseudomonadota; Gammaproteobacteria; Enterobacterales; Enterobacteriaceae. The record is from RNAcentral.
CCUACGGGAGGCUGCAGUGGGGAAUAUUGCACAAUGGGCGCAAGCCUGAUGCAGCCAUGCCGCGUGUGUGAAGAAGGCCUUCGGGUUGUAAAGCACUUUCAGCGGGGAGGAAGGCGGUGAGGUUAAUAACCUCAUCGAUUGACGUUACCCGCAGAAGAAGCACCGGCUAACUCCGUGCCAGCAGCCGCGGUAAUACGGAGGGUGCAAGCGUUAAUCGGAAUUACUGGGCGUAAAGCGCACGCAGGCGGUCUGUCAAGUCGGAUGUGAAAUCCCCGGGCUCAACCUGGGAACUGCAUUCGAAACUGGCAGGCUAGAGUCUUGUAGAGGGGGGUAGAAUUCCAGGGGUAGCGGUGAAAUGCGUAGAGAUCUGGAGGAAUACCGGUGGCGAAGGCGGCCCCCUGGACAAAGACUGACGCUCAGGUGCGAAAGCGUGGGGAGCAAACAGGAUAGAUACCCUAGUAGUC